GACGAACGCUGGCGGCGUGCUUAACACAUGCAAGUCGAACGGAAAGGCCCCGCUUGGGGGGUGUGCUCGAGGGGCGAACGGGAGUGAAACGUGUGAGUAACGUGCUCGAGACUGGGGGAUAACUUCAGGAAACUGGGGCUAAUACCGGAUGGGAGCCUCCGGCGCAGGGGGGGGGGGGGAGAGUUUCGGCGGUGGGGUUUGGACGCGGGGCUUAUCAGCUUGUGGGUGGGGGUGUGUCUUCCCAGGGCUUUGCCGGGUAGCGGGCCUGAGGGGGUGCCCGCCCCCAUUGGGCCUGGGAUCCGGCCCGGCCUCCUCCGGGCGGCGGCAGUGGGGAAUUUUGCCCAUUGGGCGGAGCCCUGAUGCAGCACCGCCGCGUGCGGGAUGACGGCCUUCGGUUUGUAACCCGCUUUCGCCUGUGACGAAGCGUGAGUGACGGUAGUGGGUAAAGAAGCACCGGCUAACUACGUG
Molecule: ribosomal RNA, 468 nt
Filed under: uncultured bacterium
Lineage: Bacteria
Description: partial 16S ribosomal RNA
Rfam family: Bacterial small subunit ribosomal RNA
Source: RNAcentral